RNAcentral lists this ribosomal RNA (464 nucleotides) under uncultured bacterium. Its description in RNAcentral is "partial 16S ribosomal RNA". It matches the Rfam family "Bacterial small subunit ribosomal RNA", at positions 29 to 507 of the family's 1533-position model. The record is from RNAcentral.
ACGAACGCUGGCGGCGUGCUUAACACAUGCAAGUCGAACGGAAAGGCCCCUUUGGGGGUACUCGAGUGGCGAACGGGUGAGUAACACGUGAGUAACCUGCCCUUGACUUCGGGAUAACUUCAGGAAACCGGGGCUAAUACCGGAUAGGAAUCCUUGCUGCAUGGUGGGGGUUGGAAAGCUUCGGCGGUUUUGGAUGGACUCGCGGCUUAUCAGCUUGUUGGUGGGGUAGUGGCUUACCAAGGCUUUGACGGGUAGCCGGCCUGAGAGGGCGACCGGCCACAUUGGGACUGAGAUACGGCCCAGACUCCUACGGGAGGCAGCAGUGGGGAAUAUUGCACAAUGGGCGGAAGCCUGAUGCAGCAACGCCGCGUGCGGGAUGACGGCCUUCGGGUUGUAAACCGCUUUCAGCAGGGGCGAAGCUUGUGGUGACGGUACCUGCAGAAGAAGCACCGGCUAACUACGUG